This is a long non-coding RNA of Phyllostomus discolor (pale spear-nosed bat), 1636 nucleotides long. RefSeq lists it as uncharacterized. The record is from RefSeq and is a predicted model, not a curated record. Lineage: Eukaryota; Metazoa; Chordata; Mammalia; Chiroptera; Phyllostomidae. The transcript is spliced from 2 exons.
ACUCCCUGCUGGGGGAUGAUGGAGACACAUACAAGGGGACAGGUGCCACGAUGGGUGCCAGGCUGGGGAGCAAGGGCCAUGACAUGUGCCCUUGUAUUAUUAUAUUAUUCUAUCUGCGAGAAUACCAUGGACCUGCCCGGCCUUGAAGGGCCGCAACACAAUGAUAUUUCAUGCACAUAUAUCCAUGCCAACACACACACACUCCAUAUUUACUUGAAAUCUCUAAAAAGACUGGAAGCCUCCAUCUAUAUAUCUUUUAGGUAUUCAUAUUCAAGAUGUUUAAAUUUUUAAAGAUUAUCUGAAUUGACAAGUUAUCUUCCUAUUUUUAUAUAUCUUAAAGUGGGAUUCAAUAAAAAGUGAUGUUAAAUCUACUCCUUUAAUUCCUAACUUUACUAAUGACAAUUUUUUUCUUGCUAUUUGAAAUUGAAAAGCCAUUUUGACUUCUAUAUCUCUGUAUCCAAUGACUGCCCAAGUUCUAUAAAAUUUCCUGGCAGAGAGAACAGUUGGAGUGCAAUGGUGGAGUGCGAUUUGUUUUCUUCCCUCAUUCCUAUUGCCUCUGCCUUCAGAGUCUGCAUUAGGUGAAGUGAUGCCCUUCUCUCUGUGAGGGAACCUGUCCUCAAAAUUAACAGCGCCCCACUAAUAGACUCCAUUUAGUUUUGACUUCAUAUUCCAGAAACAGAGUCAAUUUAUAGCCAAGAGUAAAGGAGUUGUUUUAGAGCCCAAAUUCACUCUCAUGGAGUUUGCAAAAUGGCAUGUCGAAACAUUUACAAUGAUCUAAGGGACGAAUGGUGAAGUGUUUUGGCACCAGCAAGUCUGGCAUGCAGCCCUCAAGACAAGCAGCAUUUCAACCUCUGUCCUACGUGACUUUAUUAGAAGCCUUGCAAGCGAGAGAAACAGGAAAUCUGCGCAGCACUUUUAUAGCAAUGUGGUGAAUUAUAAAUUAAUGAGGGUUUCGUAUGGGGAGGGAAUAACAUCUGCAGAAGAGCGGAUUUCAUAAAGACAAAAGGGAAAAAGGUUUCCCUUAGUAAAACAUAACCUUUCUGCAUCCACAAUCAAUUCUCAAUUAGUCAUACCAGGGAGAGUCUUCACCACACACUGUCAAUACUGCCUCACUUUGCUUCCUCCCUGCUCCACUCUUCUCUGAUUCUGCUUCUUCUCACCCAAGAUGCUCCUUGAAUUAAUAUUCCCAACAAUUUCCUUCAGGCUCUUUCUGCUGUCAAAAAAUUUAGUGGACUUUUUUAUUUCCUUGGAUCCUCUAGUGCAUGGUACCGCUUUUCUUCCCACAGUUUCCUGCCCCUUGUCUGCCCGAGCCUAAUGCUUAGUCAGCAGACCACGUAAGAAGCCAAAAGAGAGCAGGAACUAAGAGGAGAAAUGAUUUCCCCAGGAAGUUUCUCAUUCCUUCUUUAUACGUCUUUAAUGAGCACACAACAAGGAAGGCAUCAGUUUGGAAGUUCAAAUAGACUACAGGGAAAUGUGUUGGAGUGAUGUUAAAAUUCAGUUUAAAAAAAAAGAAUUGUGAGUUGAGUACUUACUAUGUACAAAGCCUUUGCUAAGUACCACAGGAGAGAGAACUCCCUGACCUACAGGGGCUUACAAUCUAACUGGCAGGGAAAGUAGGUGACAAUUUUACAAAUAA